GACGAACGCUGGCGGCGUGCCUAAUACAUGCAAGUAGAACGCUGAAGGAGGAGCCUGCUCUUCUGGAUGAGUUGCGAACGGGUGAGUAACGCGUAGGUAACCUGCCUGGUAGCGGGGGAUAACUAUUGGAAACGAUAGCUAAUACCGCAUAAGAGUAGAUGUUGCAUGACAUUUGCUUAAAAGGUGCAAUUGCAUCCCUACCAGAUGGACCUGCGUUGUAUUAGCUAGUUGGUGGGGUAACGGCUCACCAAGGCGACGAUACAUAGCCGACCUGAGAGGGGGAUCGGCCACACUGGGACUGAGACACGGCCCAGACUCCUACGGGAGGCAGCAGUAGGGAAUCUUCGGCAAUGGACGGAAGUCUGACCGAGCGACGCCGCGUGAGUGAAGAAGGUUUUCGGAUCGUAAAGCUCUGUUGUAAGAGAAGAACGAGUGUGAGAGUGGAAAGUUCACACUGUGACGGUAUCUUACCAGAAAGGGACGGCUAACUACGUG
RNAcentral lists this ribosomal RNA (495 nucleotides) under uncultured bacterium. RNAcentral's name for it is "partial 16S ribosomal RNA". It matches the Rfam family "Bacterial small subunit ribosomal RNA", at positions 28 to 507 of the family's 1533-position model. The record is from RNAcentral.